CGACGCCGACGACCCCACGUCUAGAGUAAUACAACACGGCCGCGUUUUCGCAUUGUACGCCGUUUUUACCGCCGGAACACUUUUUUUUUUUUUUUUUUUUUUUUUUUUUUCCUAUUACCGUGUGGGGCGAUAUCUGUUUUAUUGCACGAAUUUCUGUUUACGAAAUUACCGUUACCGAAAAAAAAAAUAUUUUCCCACAACCUACAGCAGUAACCGCGCGACACCCGCAAAACUUUGCGCUUACCGAAAUGACAUUAUUGCCGAAACAGCGCUCGCCGAUUUUCUCACGCGCGUUUUUCCGUUAAACCGAUUCGCUGCAAGCGGUUGUACACCCAUGCAUGACGCGAAAACGCGUCUAAAUGUAAAGACAAUUACGUGAUAAUUAUAUUGCGUUGUAAUCUUCUAGCGUAUUCCGCCAGAGAACCGCGGCCGGGGGGAGGCGGAGAGGGGGUUACUCUUCGGGCGAAAUGUAUCGCCCCCGCCCCAACUCUAGAAAACACAAAAAGUUACUCUAUAUAUAUAUAUAUAUAUAAAUAUACACUUUUAAUGUUAAAUAAGUGUACCGCCCGCUUAAAUGGAUCGCCUUGUAUGUAUGUAUGGACCAGUCUGAAGCUCAACCAACAGGGGCAUGGGGCAGAGAAAGGUUGAUUUAAAAUUAUGUUACAUCUCGGGUUCCCCCGUCUCGAAAAAGUUAAC
Cinara cedri is the source of this 696-nucleotide non-coding RNA. The record is from the annotation of a GenBank genome assembly. Lineage: Eukaryota; Metazoa; Arthropoda; Insecta; Hemiptera; Aphididae.